UUUUCCCUGCGCUGUUGGUGAUCAGCGGAGUAUUGAGCCAAACACUCAUUGAUAGGGUGGCUCAAUAGUCUACUAAUGGAAAACUUCAUUGAUUCCCUGCGGUAGGCAUACAGCUGCCCACCUAAUUUUUAUUAGGUUUAAUCAUUUCGUUGACACGGCAGGGUGGGGAUUUU
Molecule: non-coding RNA, 173 nt
Filed under: Desulfobulbaceae bacterium
Lineage: Bacteria; Pseudomonadati; Thermodesulfobacteriota; Desulfobulbia; Desulfobulbales; Desulfobulbaceae
Description: 6S RNA
Rfam family: 6S / SsrS RNA
About the family: E. coli 6S RNA was the first non coding RNA to be sequenced, but its function was unknown until recently.
Source: RNAcentral